CAGUCGCCACGGGAAUACGAAGGGUGCAAGCGUUACUCGGAAUUACUGGGCGUAAAGCGUGCGUAGGUGGUUGUUUAAGUCUGCUGUGAAAGCCCUGGGCUCAACCUGGGAAUUGCAGUGGAUACUGGGCGACUAGAGUAAGGUAGAGGAUAGUGGAAUUUCCGGUGUAGCAGUGAAAUGCGUAGAGAUCGGAAGGAACAUCUGUGGCGAAGGCGACUAUCUGGGCCAACACUGACACUGAGGCACGAAAGCGUGGGGAGCAAACAGGAUUAGAUACCCCUGUAGUCCCUGUCUCUUAUAC
This 301-nucleotide ribosomal RNA is filed under the name uncultured bacterium. RNAcentral describes it as "partial 16S ribosomal RNA". It matches the Rfam family "Bacterial small subunit ribosomal RNA", at positions 509 to 807 of the family's 1533-position model. The record is from RNAcentral.